UUGCCCUAGUAACGGCGAGUGAAGCGGCAACAGCUCAAAUUUGAAAUCUGGCUUCGGCCCGAGUUGUAAUUUGUAGAGGAAGAUUUAGGCGCGGCACCUUCUGAGUCCCCUGGAACGGGGCGCCAUAGAGGGUGAGAGCCCCGUAUAGUUGGAUGCCUAGCCUGUGUAAAUCUCCUUCGACGAGUCGAGUAGUUUGGGAAUGCUGCUCAAAAUGGGAGGUAAAUUUCUUCUAAAGCUAAAUAUUGGCCAGAGACCGAUAGCGCACAAGUAGAGUGAUCGAAAGAUGAAAAGCACUUUGAAAAGAGGGUUAAAUAGCACGUGAAAUUGUUGAAAGGGAAGCGCUUGUGACCAGACUUGCGCCGGGCGGAUCAUCCGGUGUUCUCACCGGUGCACUCCGCCCGGCUCAGGCCAGCAUCGGUUCUCGUGGGGGGAUAAAGGCCCUGGGAACGUAGCUCCUCCGGGAGUGUUAUAGCCCAGGGUGUAAUGCCCUCGCGGGGACCGAGGUUCGCGCAUCUGCAAGGAUGCUGGCGUAAUGGUCAUCAGCGACCCGUCUUGAAACACGGACCAAGGAGUCAAGGUUUUGCGCGAGUGUUUGGGUGUAAAACCCGCACGCGUAAUGAAAGUGAACGUAGGUGAGAGCUUCGGCGCAUCAUCGACCGAUCCUGAUGUAUUCGGAUGGAUUUGAGUAGGAGCGUUAAGCCUUGGACCCGAAAGAUGGUGAACUAUGCUUGGAUAGGGUGAAGCCAGAGGAAACUCUGGUGGAGGCUCGCAGCGGUUCUGACGUGCAAAUCGAUCGUCAAAUCUGAGCAU
Molecule: ribosomal RNA, 810 nt
Filed under: Humicola homopilata
Lineage: Eukaryota; Fungi; Ascomycota; Sordariomycetes; Sordariales; Chaetomiaceae
Description: partial 28S ribosomal RNA
Rfam family: Eukaryotic large subunit ribosomal RNA
Source: RNAcentral